CCUACGGGAGGCAGCAGUGGGGAAUUUUGGACAAUGGGCGCAAGCCUGAUCCAGCAAUGCCGCGUGAGUGAAGAAGGCCUUCGGGUUGUAAAGCUCUUUUGUCAGGGAAGAAACGGUGUUUUCUAAUACAGAGCGCUAAUGACGGUACCUGAAGAAUAAGCACCGGCUAACUACGUGCAAGCAGCCGCGGUAAUACGUAGGGUGCAAGCGUUAAUCGGAAUUACUGGGCGUAAAGCGUGCGCAGGCGGUUUUGUAAGUUUGUCGUGAAAUCCCCGGGCUCAACCUGGGAAUGGCGAUGAAGACUGCAAGGCUAGAGUUUGGCAGAGGGGGGUAGAAUUCCACGUGUAGCAGUGAAAUGCGUAGAUAUGUGGAGGAACACCGAUGGCGAAGGCAGCCCCCUGGGUCAAAACUGACGCUCAUGCACGAAAGCGUGGGGAGCAAACAGGAUUAGAUACCCUGGUAGUCCACGCCCUAAACGAUGUCUACUAGUUGUCGGGUCUUAAUUGACUUGGUAACGCAGCUAACGCGUGAAGUGACCGCCUGGGGAUACGGUCGCAAGNUUAAAACGUCAAAGGAUUGACGG
RNAcentral lists this ribosomal RNA (583 nucleotides) under uncultured bacterium. Its description in RNAcentral is "bacterial SSU rRNA". It matches the Rfam family "Bacterial small subunit ribosomal RNA", at positions 338 to 916 of the family's 1533-position model. The record is from RNAcentral.